Long non-coding RNA from Zerene cesonia (dogface butterfly), 244 nucleotides. RefSeq lists it as uncharacterized. NCBI's taxonomy places the organism in Eukaryota, Metazoa, Arthropoda, Insecta, Lepidoptera, Pieridae. The record is from RefSeq and is a predicted model, not a curated record. The transcript has 3 exons.
CACUUCUGAUUUUCAACGAAACGUGGCAAUAAUAUAAUACCAAAGACGCAAUAUGCCUGCCCCCUGUGAACCAUGCAAAGAUACCUGCAAGGAAGGCACCAGCUGCAAUGAGGAUUGCUCUUGUGAUACCAACUGCAAUGAUUGUUCUACCUCUGGUAGUUGCUGCUAAUUCCACCCCUGCAGCUGAUUCAGAAUAAUUUCAUUAACAAAGCAUUAUGGAUUUUUGUUGAAAAUAAAGUGUACA